This 442-nucleotide ribosomal RNA is filed under the name uncultured bacterium. Its description in RNAcentral is "bacterial SSU rRNA". It matches the Rfam family "Bacterial small subunit ribosomal RNA", at positions 354 to 796 of the family's 1533-position model. The record is from RNAcentral.
GUGGGGAAUCUUGCGCAAUGGCCGAAAGGCUGACGCAGCGACGCCGCGUGGGGGAGGAAGGCCUUCGGGUUGUAAACCCCUGUUGCCCGGGACGAAAGCGUUCUUUAGAGAGCGUUGACGGUACCGGGUGAGGAAGCACCGGCUAACUCCGUGCCAGCAGCCGCGGUAAUACGGAGGGUGCAAGCGUUGUCCGGAAUCACUGGGCGUAAAGGGCGCGUAGGCGGCUCAUGAAGGCUGUGGUGAAAGUCCGGGGCUCAACCUCGGAUCGGCCGUGGCGACUCGUGGGCUGGAGCACUGUAGAGGCGGGUGGAAUUCCGGGUGUAGCGGUGGAAUGCGUAGAGAUCCGGAAGAACACCAGUGGCGAAGGCGGCCCGCUGGGCAGUGGCUGACGCUGAAGCGCGACAGCGUGGGGAGCAAACAGGAUUAGAUACCCUAGUAGUCC